This 801-nucleotide long non-coding RNA is filed under the name Coffea arabica (coffee). Its description in RNAcentral is "long non-coding RNA (CARA_LNC002489)". The record is from RNAcentral. Lineage: Eukaryota; Viridiplantae; Streptophyta; Magnoliopsida; Gentianales; Rubiaceae.
GAACAGAUCACCUGUUGGACGAAGAUAAUAUUUCGAGUUCUAAAAAAUGCACAAUUGAAGUUGAUGUGGAAACCUCACAAGGAACUGAAACAGGUAGGAGCACUGAAGUACAAAGGUCUGAAGGUGUAUUUGUUGUGGAUCCUGAUUUAAUUCCUGAAGGCCAUAGUGUAGCAUCAGGUGAACAAUCAGAAAAUCCUAAGGAGAUGGAAACACAAAUUUCCAGUUCAGAUUCUCAAUUAAAACCUGAAGAUCAUGGUGGAGCAUCUGACAAAAAAUCAGAAGAUUAUAAGGAGGCAGCAGGUUUGCCUGUAGCUUCUACGGUCUCAAGCCAAAGUUCUGCUACUGUUGAAGACAAAAUUACCAAUGAUGCAGUCACUUCUGAAAUAGGUAAGAGCACUGAAGUACAAAGGUCUGAAGAUGUAUUUGUCGUGGAUCCUGAUUUAAGUCCUGACGGCCACAGUGUAGCAUCAGGUGAACAAUCAGAAAAUCCUGAGGAGAUGGAAACACAAAGUUCCAGUUCAGUUUCUCAAUUAAAACCUGAAGAUCAUGGUGGAGCAUAUGACAAAAAAUUAGAAGAUUAUAAGGAGGCGGCGGCUUUACCUGUAGCUUCCACAAUAUCAAGCCAAAGUUCUGCUACUGUUGAAGACAAAAUUACCAAUGAUGCAGUCAUUUCUCAGCCCUUGCUAGAUGGAGACAAUGGCAAGCUCACAAAAGAAAGUGUACACGUUUCUGCGGUUGAUGACUCCGUUGUUUCAAGCAGCCGAACUGAGAGUUUGGAUGGGAACUGGGGAUCAGUAUCAG